UACGAAGGGGGCUAGCGUUGCUCGGAAUCACUGGGCGUAAAGCGCACGUAGGCGGCUUUUUAAGUCAGGGGUGAAAUCCUGGAGCUCAACUCCAGAACUGCCUUCGAUACUGGAAAGCUCGAGUCCGGGAGAGGUGAGUGGAACUGCGAGUGUAGAGGUGAAAUUCGUAGAUAUUCGCAAGAACACCAGUGGCGAAGGCGGCUCACUGGCCCGGUACUGACGCUGAGGUGCGAAAGCGUGGGGAGCAAACAGG
Molecule: ribosomal RNA, 253 nt
Filed under: uncultured bacterium
Lineage: Bacteria
Description: partial 16S ribosomal RNA
Rfam family: Bacterial small subunit ribosomal RNA
Source: RNAcentral